GCCUGGGUGGCUCAGUCGGUUGAGCGUCCGACUUCGGCUCAGGCCAUGAUCUCGCGGUCUGUGAGUUCGAGCCCCACAUCGGGCU
This 85-nucleotide transfer RNA is filed under the name Felis catus (domestic cat). It matches the Rfam family "tRNA". Rfam says of the family: Transfer RNA (tRNA) molecules are approximately 80 nucleotides in length. Their secondary structure includes four short double-helical elements and three loops (D, anti-codon, and T loops). Further hydrogen bonds mediate the characteristic L-shaped molecular structure. tRNAs have two regions of fundamental functional importance: the anti-codon, which is responsible for specific mRNA codon recognition, and the 3' end, to which the tRNAs corresponding amino acid is attached (by aminoacyl-tRNA synthetases). tRNAs cope with the degeneracy of the genetic code in two manners: having more than one tRNA (with a specific anti-codon) for a particular amino acid; and 'wobble' base-pairing, i.e. permitting non-standard base-pairing at the 3rd anti-codon position. Lineage: Eukaryota; Metazoa; Chordata; Mammalia; Carnivora; Felidae. The record is from Rfam by way of RNAcentral.